CGGGGUGGAUGCAGGGCGCGGGGGCUUGAGUGGCCUUAGGGUUUAGGUCAUCAUGGGCCAAAAUUUUCGCGGGACGGGCCGAAAACUUUCGCGCCACUGGAUAUUUUAUUUCGCGACGGACGAUCCGAUUCAGUUGAUGACAUAUAGCGACGGACGAUCCAGUGUAAAUUUAGAAUAAUUAUAGCAACAGACCGUCCAUUGAAGUAUUGAAAUUCAACAACGGAUGCUCUGUGGGAAUCCUUUAGCAACAGACCGUUCAAUGCUAAUAUUUAUCUUUAGCAACACACGUCUGAUGCUAUUUAAGUGUUGUGGUGUAGUGAUGGGGCAUAACGAUUUAUUGGAUUAUAUAGCUCUUGAGAAAUGGUAGUAUAUUUUUAAAAAAUGUUGUAAAUAAAGUCUUUUCUGAAUAUUUUUAAAUUUUAAUUUUCUAUUUUACCUUAAUUAAUUAUGUUUUAUAUUUAAUUUCUUUCUAUAUAUAAUAUCAUAUUCUGUGAUGUUUUUUGUGAUGUUCAUAUAGUAUACAUGUGAUGUUCUACGAUAUUUUAUGUGAUAUUCACAUGUUACAACUGUGGUGUUCUAUCAUAUUUUUUUUAUGUUCACGUGGUAUAGAUGUGAUGUUCUAUGAUGUUUUUUUUGAUGUUCGUGUAGUAUACAUGUGAUGUUCACAUAGUAUAUAAGGAUGUUACAUGAUGUAUUUUGUGAUGUUCAUGUAGUAUAUAUGUGUUGUUCUAUUAUGUUUCUUGUGAUGUUCUAUAUUUUAUUGAGUGAUGUCACUUAGUACGCAUGUGAUGUUCAAUAAUAUAUUUUAGAUUGUUUGAAAAGUGCUGAUAUGAUAUUCUUUUAAAUUUUCUCUACUACGUAUUUUAUUUUAUUUUUCAUUAUGCUUUGCUCUGGAUUUCAUUGUUCUUUUAUUUAUGUUAUGUAUUUAUUUAUUUAUAUUUAUGUAUGUUAUAGUACUAAUUUUAUGAACAUAAACAGAAUAUUCUUCUUACAAAGACGGAACAUUAGUUUUUGAACCUAGAACAUUGUCUCUGCUCAACAGAAGAAAAUAUUCUACCUUUAUAAGAAAAAUGUUCACUAAAUUUUUAUCUGAAUAUAUCCAUGUGGGAUCUUGUUAUGAAGAAUUUAUUGCAAAAAACUCAAUGGUGUAGUCGAAUUAAAUUUCGAUGUUUGGUUUAGCAGUUAAGACUUUUUUUAGUUUGUUGAAAUAAUAUGCAUGAGAUGAGAGCUG
This 1231-nucleotide long non-coding RNA is filed under the name Sorghum bicolor (sorghum). RNAcentral describes it as "long non-coding RNA (SBIC_LNC016526)". Lineage: Eukaryota; Viridiplantae; Streptophyta; Magnoliopsida; Poales; Poaceae. The record is from RNAcentral.